CAAAUAAAGGGUACAUCUUAAUUUGAAAAUUUUAGUUCUUCAUGAAGAGAAUCAUCCAUAAGACAUCUCAAUCCAGAAAAGUAGCAUUUUGCCAUCAUGAUAACCUUUCCACUUCCAAUAUUACACACAUGUCAGUAUCAUUUUAACAUUAAAAACAUCCCAACAAAUAUCCAGUAGCAUUUGCUGGCGCAAUGAGUCACUCACCUUCUCUUUUAACAUCUAACUUCCAAAAGAUAUCCGUCUCUUCCUCACUUUCCUACCCUCUUCACGUACCAGAUUAAAAGGGGAAGGGGGAAAAUAGUAUUUCAUGAAUUCAUUAUUCCAAAUAUUGACCUACAUAUUGACAGUUCUGAAGAUGUAGUAUAGUAUGCCUAAACAAGAAUCAUAAAUUCUUCACUUAUCUGAGUUCAUUCCACAUUUUUUCACCUGUUAUGUAGCUUAAAUCAUGUUUCACUCUCAUUUCUAGACCUUUAUUUGCCUUCCCUUGAUAACUCCACUUUCUUUUCACGGUAACUUCUUUUCUAUUGUAUGCUAUCAUUUAUAACUCACAGUAACAGCAGACACAUCAAAUCCAGAAACACGAAACAUUCUCGAAUCAAUAAGUAGCAUUAGAAACCAAAAGACAAAACAAAACUUGCAACACUUCACUUCGCACACACUUAUUGGAUACAUCCAUCGAUAUUGGACAGGUCCUCCAAGCUUGGCAUCUUCUACUAAAUGCACAAUCAAAUGAACCAUCACUGUGAAGAAAGAAGGAGGGAAUAACAUCUCCAUGUGACACAAUGUGAGGACAACUUUAUCUUGUAAUUGGACAAGUUCAUCUAUCUUCAAAACUUUAUUACAUAAUUGUUUAAAAAAAGAGCAUAGAUCAAUCAAAAUAGACGAGACUUCUUU
This 894-nucleotide long non-coding RNA is filed under the name Vigna radiata. Its description in RNAcentral is "long non-coding RNA (VRAD_LNC017351)". Lineage: Eukaryota; Viridiplantae; Streptophyta; Magnoliopsida; Fabales; Fabaceae. The record is from RNAcentral.